RNAcentral lists this ribosomal RNA (373 nucleotides) under uncultured organism. Its description in RNAcentral is "partial 16S ribosomal RNA". It matches the Rfam family "Bacterial small subunit ribosomal RNA", at positions 527 to 896 of the family's 1533-position model. The record is from RNAcentral.
GUAGGUGGCAAGCGUUGUCCGGAAUUAUUGGGCGUAAAGCGCGCGCAGGCGGUUCUUUAAGUCUGAUGUGAAAGCCCACGGCUCAACCGUGGAGGGUCAUUGGAAACUGGAGAACUUGAGUACAGAAGAGGAAAGCGGAAUUCCACGUGUAGCGGUGAAAUGCGUAGAGAUGUGGAGGAACACCAGUGGCGAAGGCGGCUUUCUGGUCUGUAACUGACGCUGAGGCGCGAAAGCGUGGGGAGCAAACAGGAUUAGAUACCCUGGUAGUCCACGCCGUAAACGAUGAGUGCUAAGUGUUAGGGGGGUUUCCGCCCCCCUUAGUGCUGCAGCUAACGCAUUAGGCACUCCGCCUGGGAGUACGGCCGCAAGGCUG